This 71-nucleotide transfer RNA is filed under the name Dipodomys ordii (Ord's kangaroo rat). It matches the Rfam family "tRNA". From Rfam's summary of the family: Transfer RNA (tRNA) molecules are approximately 80 nucleotides in length. Their secondary structure includes four short double-helical elements and three loops (D, anti-codon, and T loops). Lineage: Eukaryota; Metazoa; Chordata; Mammalia; Rodentia; Heteromyidae. The record is from Rfam by way of RNAcentral.
GGGAGUGUAGUUCAGUGGUAGAGCACUUGCCUAGCAUGUACAAGAUCUGGGUUCAAUCCUCAGCACUGCAA